GAUGAACGCUGGCGGCGUGCCUAAUACAUGCAAGUCGAGCGAACGGACGAGAAGCUUGCUUCUCUGAUGUUAGCGGCGGACGGGUGAGUAACACGUGGAUAACCUACCUAUAAGACUGGGAUAACUUCGGGAAACCGGAGCUAAUACCGGAUAAUAUUUUGAACCGCAUGGUUCAAAAGUGAAAGACGGUCUUGCUGUCACUUAUAGAUGGAUCCGCGCUGCAUUAGCUAGUUGGUAAGGUAACGGCUUACCAAGGCAACGAUGCAUAGCCGACCUGAGAGGGUGAUCGGCCACCCUGGAACUGAGACACGGUCCAGACUCCUACGGGAGGCGGCAGUAGGGAAUCUUCCGCAAUGGGCGAAAGCCUGACGGAGCAACGCCGCGUGAGUGAUGAAGGUCUUCGGAUCGUAAACCUCUGUUAUUAGGGAAGAACAUAUGUGUAAGUAACUGUGCACAUCUUGACGGUACCUAAUCAGAAAGCCACGGCUAACUACGUG
This 497-nucleotide ribosomal RNA is filed under the name uncultured bacterium. Its description in RNAcentral is "partial 16S ribosomal RNA". It matches the Rfam family "Bacterial small subunit ribosomal RNA", at positions 28 to 507 of the family's 1533-position model. The record is from RNAcentral.